RNAcentral lists this ribosomal RNA (253 nucleotides) under uncultured bacterium. RNAcentral's name for it is "partial 16S ribosomal RNA". It matches the Rfam family "Bacterial small subunit ribosomal RNA", at positions 524 to 776 of the family's 1533-position model. The record is from RNAcentral.
UACGAAGGGGGCUAGCGUUGCUCGGAAUCACUGGGCGUAAAGCGCACGUAGGCGGCCUCUUAAGUCGGUGGUGAAAUCCUGGAGCUCAACUCCAGAACUGCCUUCGAUACUGGGAGUCUCGAGUCCGGGAGAGGUGAGUGGAACUGCGAGUGUAGAGGUGAAAUUCGUAGAUAUUCGCAAGAACACCAGUGGCGAAGGCGGGUCUCUGGGCCGAUACUGACACUGAGAAGCGAAAGCGUGGGGAGCGAACAGG